CUGCUGCAUUACUGCAACGAAACGCUUACGUCCUACGGGAACGCGUGUGAUGAGGGAGAUACCCGUGAAUGUGUGGGUAGCAGACGUGGCCGUAGAGCAUCUUCCGCAGGUACCUGGCAUCAACGUAAAGAGCGCCAUCUUUGACGUAGCAUUUUCGCAGGGAGAUGCUCCAGAAUGGGUGCCGGGUAGCCUCGCGCACGAAGAGGUCAUAGUUGCUGCCAAUGCUCGC
Molecule: long non-coding RNA, 229 nt
Organism: Priapulus caudatus
Lineage: Eukaryota; Metazoa; Priapulida; Priapulimorpha; Priapulimorphida; Priapulidae
Exons: 3
Source: RefSeq, a predicted model, not a curated record